CCCAGUCAGUCUAGUAAACGUUUUGCCCCGUGGCAGCCUCGUCAAACACAGCAGGAAGAUCAGGCUCUGGAGCGCACUCUUGACACAUCUCCUGGGGAUGGAUCCUUUUACACUUUCUGAUCAUCACUGCCUUGCUGCACACGUGGAACAGCUUAGCUGGAGGCUGAGGUGAAGAGACCAUCUCCUUGAGAGCAACAGAAACAAGGCACCAAAAAAUACUGAGGAUGUGGUAGGAAGGGUCCUGGUAGAAUGUUGCGGGUAGCCCACCUCACCAGGAAAGCAGGUGGCGGUGAGGAACAGAGGUGUGUUUUGGGACAGCCCUGCAGCAGUCCGUGCAGGUGGGGAGAACUGGCCAAGGAGGGGGGAACCCUCCUGGUGAGCCAAGAAAGAGCCAACCAUCCUGAACUGGGAGCUGAACCUCCAAAGACAAACUGGACCUGCCCUCACCUCCAUCACACCAGGCUGCCAGGAGCACCCCUGAGACAAGAAGACAUCACUACUUUUGUCACAAAAGCAAGUA
This is a long non-coding RNA of Prinia subflava (tawny-flanked prinia), 520 nucleotides long. RefSeq lists it as uncharacterized. The record is from RefSeq and is a predicted model, not a curated record. NCBI's taxonomy places the organism in Eukaryota, Metazoa, Chordata, Aves, Passeriformes, Cisticolidae. The transcript is spliced from 3 exons.